Molecule: ribosomal RNA, 253 nt
Filed under: Diacronema lutheri
Lineage: Eukaryota; Haptophyta; Pavlovophyceae; Pavlovales; Pavlovaceae
Description: partial Bacterial large subunit ribosomal RNA
Rfam family: Bacterial large subunit ribosomal RNA
Source: RNAcentral
UACCCGUACCGCAAACCGACACAGGUAGUCGAGUGGAGAACACUAAGGUGAGCGAGAGAACUCUCGUUAAGGAACUCGGCAAAAUGACCCCGUAACUUCGGAAGAAGGGGUGCUAGCCAAGAGAUUGGUUAGCCGCAGUGAAUAGGCCCAAACAACUGUUUAUCAAAAACACAGGUCUCUGCAAAAUCGUAAGAUGACGUAUAGAGGCUGACACCUGCCCGGUGCUGGAAGGUUAAGGGGAAGGCUUAGCAUA